RNAcentral lists this microRNA precursor (93 nucleotides) under Procavia capensis (Cape rock hyrax). Its description in RNAcentral is "miRNA (ENSPCAG00000019542.1)". Lineage: Eukaryota; Metazoa; Chordata; Mammalia; Hyracoidea; Procaviidae. The record is from RNAcentral.
GCGGGAUCCUGGUUUGCUUGCUGGGGUACAGUGAUCAGGUUACGAUGGAUUUCUCAGUGAGAACCUCGUGGCUCAGUCACUAUAUCUGUGUGA